Molecule: transfer RNA, 88 nt
Filed under: Bacteroidota bacterium
Lineage: Bacteria; Pseudomonadati; Bacteroidota
Also listed under: 1 other name
Description: Bacteroidetes bacterium (activated sludge metagenome) tRNA-Ser
Rfam family: tRNA
About the family: Transfer RNA (tRNA) molecules are approximately 80 nucleotides in length. Their secondary structure includes four short double-helical elements and three loops (D, anti-codon, and T loops).
Source: RNAcentral
GGAGAUGUGGCAGAGUGGUCGAAUGCAUCGGUCUUGAAAACCGACGUACCGAGAGGUACCGGGGGUUCGAAUCCCUCCAUCUCCGCCA